GCGCUUAUUGGUGUUCACCAAAACACCAGCAUGGUGUACCAGCUUUGGCUAGAUGAUGCUCAGGAAAACACAGAUCCUGGUGCCGAACAUGAGGACAGGGCAGGCCGAAGGAGAAAGUGGAAGGAGGGGAGCUUCUCUCUCAGCCUCAUCCUUCUGGGCCUGGAUGCUGGAGAGUCAUGAGGUGCUUCAGAGUACUCUGGGUGAGGAGGGAAAGAUGGUGCCCACCACAUGGAGGCCAGCCUAGGUCUUGUAUGAAACCUGUGAGGCCAGCAGGAGCCAGGCCGUGGCCUGCUGACUGCAUCUGCCAGAUGACUACCAAUGUGAGAUUCUCUCUCCCUUGCUGUCUUUGAAAAAGCAAGUUGCCAUGUGAAGAGGGCCAUAUAGCAUAGGAGCUGAAGGCAGCCUCCAACUGACGGCAAGAAAAUGAGGUCCUCAGUCUGACAACCUGCAAGAAACUGAAUGUUCUAAAAGCCACAUGAGCUUGGGAGCAGAUCUGACCCCAGCCAAAUCUCUGAAGUCCGCAGGCAGGAAAUGAAGAUCAGAAAAAGGCUAUUGUCUCAUGAAUAUGAGCCAGACUCCACAGAAGCUGGAGUCCUUCAUUAUGGAGCUAAACACAUACACCUGGCUUAGGAGUCAGAAAAACUGAAAGAGAAUUCAGGGAAGUAGAGAAAUUGCAAGCCCAGAUGCUGCUUCAUACCAAAGAAGCAAGUCAGCAGGUCAGCAACAAUGUGUAUCAGUUCCAAAAUGACUUACACAGGUACCAAGACAAGACAUUAUAUACACUUAUAUAGUCAAAUACUUUAAAACUGUUAACAAACUUGCUACAAUUGUCUCAUUUGUCUUUUAACCUUAAUAUCACAGAUCAAGUUUGUAAUCUCAAAAGUUCACCCUGGCUGCUGUGUGGAGUAUUCUCUUAUCUGCUCAUAUUACACUGUGCUUAUUCAUUCAUCAGUUAAUGGAAAUUUGGGUUGUUUCCUGAUUUUGACUGUAAUGAAUAAUGUUGCUGUAAACAUUCAUGUACAGUUUUGUGUGGACAUGCUUUUCUUUCUCUUGGGUAGGUUCCUAUGAGUGGAAUCACUAGAUUGUAUGGUAAAUGUAUGUUUAACUUUUAAAGAAACUGUCAAACUGUUUU
This is a long non-coding RNA of Homo sapiens (human), 1132 nucleotides long. Ensembl annotates it as ZBED3 antisense RNA 1. Its record names the gene ZBED3-AS1. NCBI's taxonomy places the organism in Eukaryota, Metazoa, Chordata, Mammalia, Primates, Hominidae. The record is from Ensembl.